This 78-nucleotide transfer RNA is filed under the name Chloroflexota bacterium. RNAcentral's name for it is "Chloroflexi bacterium (groundwater metagenome) tRNA-Arg". It matches the Rfam family "tRNA". From Rfam's summary of the family: Transfer RNA (tRNA) molecules are approximately 80 nucleotides in length. Their secondary structure includes four short double-helical elements and three loops (D, anti-codon, and T loops). The record is from RNAcentral. Lineage: Bacteria; Bacillati; Chloroflexota.
GCCCCUGUAGCUCAGUUGGAUAGAGCGGCGCCGUCCUAAGGCGCGUCGUCGGGAGUUCGAGUCUCCCCAGGGGUACCA